Molecule: ribosomal RNA, 253 nt
Filed under: uncultured bacterium
Lineage: Bacteria
Description: partial 16S ribosomal RNA
Rfam family: Bacterial small subunit ribosomal RNA
Source: RNAcentral
UACGAAGGGGGCUAGCGUUGCUCGGAUUGACUGGGCGUAAAGGGCGCGUAGGCGGUUCGUACAGUCAGACGUGAAAUUCCUGGGCUCAACCUGGGGGCUGCGUUUGAUACGUGCGGACUUGAGUGCGGAAGAGGGUCGUGGAAUUCCCAGUGUAGAGGUGAAAUUCGUAGAUAUCGGGAGGAACACCAGUGGCGAAGGCGGCGAUCUGGGUCGAUACUGACGCUGAGGUGCGAAAGCGUGGGGAGCAAAUAGG